Molecule: signal recognition particle RNA, 96 nt
Filed under: Ornithinimicrobium sp.
Lineage: Bacteria; Bacillati; Actinomycetota; Actinomycetes; Micrococcales; Ornithinimicrobiaceae
Description: signal recognition particle sRNA small type
Rfam family: Bacterial small signal recognition particle RNA
About the family: The signal recognition particle (SRP) is a universally conserved ribonucleoprotein involved in the co-translational targeting of proteins to membranes. Archaeal SRP consists of a 7S RNA and homologues of the eukaryotic SRP19 and SRP54 proteins.
Source: RNAcentral
CCGGACCCCCCGUGCGGUGGUACCUCGGUGAAUCCCCCAGGGCAGGAAUGCAGCAAGGGCAACUGAGCUCUUCCAGGUGCGCGGGGGGUUCUUCCU